CCCCUUCCCGUACCCGAGCGGCCAGCGAUCCCCGGCGCUGCCCGCGUACCAUCCUCCAGCCCCCCGGGCGCCCCGCUGUCCGGGAGGGACUCACUCCCGCCCCGGCAAUGCGGACAGCACCUUGCUGCCGUUCCUAGAGGCGGCUCCCGGGCCGGGGGUCGGGGCCAUGAACCCGUCGCGGCGUUGAGCACCGCGGCGGCGGCGGCGAAGCGGAGCCUUUUCCGUGCAGGCAGCCCCCGACCUGCGUGCGACCGGGGCCGCGCCCGCCGCCGCCGCCCCCCAUGACCCUGCGCUCCGCCGAGUCCCUGGAGAGCACGGAGGGCUCCCGGGCGCGUUGGGGACAGCCCGGGACGGCGGCGCCUGUUGCCGAGGAGUUCUGUGAGGCGGCGCAGCUGGCCGCCGCUAUGGAGGAGCUGCGGCGGGCAGGAUGGUACUGGGGCAACAUGACUGUUGCCGAAGCUAAAGAGAGAUUACAGGAUGCUCCCGAAGGGACCUUCUUGGUUAGGGAUAGUUCACAUUCAGAGUAUCUGUUGACUAUUUCGGUAAAAACAUCAGCGGGACCGACCAAUCUACGUAUAGAAUAUCAAGAUGGCAAGUUUAGACUGGACUCUAUCACAUGUGUCAGAUCUAGACUUAAGCAAUUCGACAGCGUUGUGCAUUUGAUUGAGUACUAUGUUCUUAUGUGCAAGAACAGAACAGAGACACCUUCAAAUGGAACAGUUCAUCUUUACUUGAACAAACCUCUCUAUACGUCCACUCCAUCUCUGCAACACCGCUGCAGAAUAACUAUAAACAAAUGCACAAAUCAGAUCUGGGAGCUGCCAUUACCAACAAGACUAAAAGAGUACUUGAAAGAGUACCAGUACCAGGUAUAAAUAUAUUUUCUAAAUGCCUGUAAUGUAGAGUAACUUUUAAAUGCAAUUCUUAAAAUCAGCCAAAGAACUGAGUAACCAGUUGAACAAAUCGUCAUGGAAUUCACUAUCAAAACAGUGGCAGUUCUGGGGGAAAGGUUUUAAUUUCAGAUGCCACAAAGGGAGACUUUAUGUAGAAUAAUCUCAGCUUGCAUCCUCGGGGGUUCAACAAGGUGGCAUGCUAUUCUUGCAAGGAGAGAGAAGCCAGGAAUCUGUCCAGAUCAUGUUGCUUUGUCAAUGGCAUAAAAUACUGCGCUAAUUAUCAAAUGCUAACCGAAGUAGUGGGGCUGGGAGAAACUGCAGAAGUGGUCAAAGACGUAUGAGAGUGCAUAAGUAUCUCAGUUGUCUGAUUCCAUGAUUAAUUUGGUGCUGGUGUUCAUAUAAUCCUGAAAGCUUAACUGGAUCAUGCAGUGGUAAUCUUGCCAAAGUUACGCAAUUAAUCAAAUCCACUAAAAAAAUUGAUCUUGUAUUCAGUCUUUAUUGAACUAUAAUUCUUGUGCUUUUCUGCAAGCAAAGGAACACUGCAAGUAAGAAGUUCAAAACACAGUUUUUCAAAGUUCUCUAAAAGCUGACCUUAAGGAGAAGUGCCACAUCUUUCAUAGGAACCCAGUAUGUUGUGGAUUAUACCAGAUUGGUACCCCAGAGUUUUCAACAUGGUUAACAUCUUCCCAGUGGUGAUAUAUCCAUGUUAUUACUAGUAAGCCUGUUUUGCUGGAGGCUUUAGGACUGUAUGCUGCAGACUUGAAGUUACUCAGUUCCAAUGUCAAAACAUGGAUAUCAGCAGUUACAGCUGUCUUCUACAGUGUAGAAUGUUUUCUUCAGCUUGUUUCCCAAAAUGUGGGGAAGUAUGUUUGGGGUUUUUUAGGGGGUUGGGGCUUUUUUUUCUUUUUUUUUUUUUUCUAAUUCACCCUUGUAGUUAUCAGACUAUUACUCAAUAAAGUAAAACAAAGUGAAACAAAUUACACAACAAUCUCCCAAUCUUUUUAUGUAUGGAUUUGCUACUGUUUUUCAGGAAACUGAUCUUAGGAACCUGUAUAAUUUCCCAGGUAAUAGAUAAAUGCACAUGUAUCGGUGAGGAAGCAUAUCCCUGGUUUGCCUUUAUGGUGCUGCUCAAAGGAAUAGCUGUAUUAGGUUGAGGUUAGUGGUUUAGAGGCUGCCUGCUGAAUUCCUGUAGUUAGGUAUUAGCAUAGGACAUUGUCUUUUCUGUUACAGCAGUCCUUCAAAUCGGAAGAAGGGUCUGAAAUCCUGGGUACCUGUUCCUUAGCCUAAAUGUAAAGUGUUUCAGAGAAAAAAUAACCCAGAUGAGAGUAAUAGGGGAGAGUAAAGAGAGAAGCAAGGGCAUCGUCCUCAGUCAACAUUAACUCUUUCUGUAGCUUACGUUUUAAUUAAAGCAAAUAGACCUGUGUUUGAACAAGGAGGAUUGUCAGGACUUGCUGUAAUGUAGCCCUGCCCAGGACAAAACAGAAACAAUAUGAAAUAAUUGUCUUGUUUUCUUCAUGCCUUAUCUGUUCUGUAGUACUGUCACUAUGCUCUGUCCCUUCUCAUAAACUCUGGAGCAUCAACCAGCUUAUUUUAUUGCAUCUGAACUCCCACUGUUACACACUUAGCUUUGUCAUUAGCAUGCUGGCACAAAUGAGUAGGACAGUCAUUAAGAUAAGGAAGACACUGAGAAUCUGAGCCAGAAAGGGAUGGUUCCUUGGUAGGGCAAAUACUUGGUAUGUUCUCUCUAUGGAAGAGGUGGGUUUUCUUUCCCCAUGUCUUCAAUUCUCUCUCCCCAUUUUUAAUGUAAGAUUUAGUAUAGAAAUGGGGCGAGUUUUCUCAUGAAAAACAGAACAAAAGCUUUUGUUAUGUAAAAUUUUUCCCCAUGCCCUGCCAAAGUGUAGCAGAUUGUUGGAAGUUUUUCACAUCACAUGACGACCACCCUCUGGUUCCCAUCUCAGAGGAGCCCUUGUAUUCCAGGUAUGCAUCAUAAUCACACAGUUUUUCUGUGCUUGUCGUCUGUCUUGCUAGGAUCUGCCACCCUGAAGCUGAGGAGCUUUUCCUAUGAGCGCUGCCUGUGAAAGAACUGUAUUUCUGGGAAUGCUUUCAUUCUGAUGAGUCUGCUCUCUUACAGUCAUUGUCUAGCUCUACCUUGAGAUGAGAUAGCUGCGGCAGAGAGUAACUUUUGUCACAAAUUUGAGCCAUUAAUUCUCCAGGAACUGAAAUACCGAAAUAAUACCAUCACUUUCUAUGGUAUAAAGGAGGAAUAAAAUGGGGGAGCAAAAGCUGUUUAUAUUAGCGUAAUGAACAAGCUGGCAUUUAGCAGGAGAAAGUUCAAACAGAUAAUAGCCUGGGGAAGUUCAGUGGUGAAUGCUGCAAAGAACAAAAUUUGAAAACAAACUCCAAAAAUUCCAUGUUCCUGCCUUAAUUUUUCUUUCACUGGCAAGCAGGGUUUACGUAAGUAAAUCCUUUUGUUUUCAGUCAAAUUGUUCCAUAACUGAUGUUUCAUAGCUGAGGACUGCAAUUUGGUGCAAAGUCAGUUAACAAAUAGUAAAUGCAGAGGUAUGUAAAAUGUGGAAAAAGAUUGAAAGCCCCAAAUUCUUCUUUUGACUUUAUUGAGAUUAUUUGGAUCAGGGUUGAUAGCAAGCAUUAUAUAAGAAACAGUUGUAAGACUGAUAGUUGAAGGCUGUAAAAUCCCUUUUCAAAAUGCUUUGUUACAAUGUAAUUGUACCUCUUUUAGAUUGCAGUCCUGUUCUGCUGAGCCUCUUGCCCGCACCCAGUUUGUCUCAGGGGGCACCUCCAAACCUGAGGGAUUGCGCUGGACACCUGUAUGACAUGUCACACAUUGGCUUUCUUCUUACCUAGUGUGCAGCUUGACGCAGUCUGGAGGGCAGAGUAAGUUGUGCAUCAACUUACCAUUUAUGGGGUUUUCAGCUGGUUCAUUUUCUUUUAGGAAGAGAAAUACUACACAAGACUGAGACUGCAUAAGCUGCAAUUUACUCAUCUGUAAAAUGGACUUGACAUUUUGUAACUUAUUAGUGUGGGGUGAAAAGUCACUCAUAUUUCAAUUGACAUUGACAGGAAAUUUAGCUGCAGUGAUGGAGUACCUCUGACCGGCUGCAUUGCUAGAAAAAAAGAAGAAAGUUAGGAAAGUGAGAUUCUCGUCUGGCUAGCUUGCAGUGGAAGUGGCACCACAGCUCCUGUGCGAGCUGAAGUGCUUCAGCCGCAUGCUGUCUGCCUGUGAGAACAUAACUGUUUUCUGGCACAAUUCAUGUGUUCAACUCCCUUGGUGGAGGACACAGUGCCUACUGCAGGCUGCUGAACCAGCCCACUGUAACCAUCCAUGGGGGCAGGUUUCAUUUUGAAAAGGAACAAAAUACAGUAAGUGAAUUUUUAAUUGAAGGUGAGUUCUUUUUUAAAAACAGGAUGUAUGGACAAAGUAUAAGCAGUGGCAAAUCUCUUGCUAGGCUACCUGUCUAAACUUUCCAUGAGCCAUUAUCAGCUCCUGAAAUGCUUCACCUGAAAGUAAGAACCUUUGAAAAUAUAAGUACUGUAUUUAUAACUUGUACAUAUAUACAUACACAUAUAUAUACCUAUGUAUAUAACUUGUCAAGUUCAAAGCCUGAGAAAGAAAGAGAAGAUUACAAAAAGCAACAGUUACUCUCCUAAAUAAAACCAACCUUCCAGUCUUUUAUCUAAAAUGCUAGACAACCAUUUCAUGUGCUGUCAUUUGCAAACAAAAUUAUUUGGUUUUGUGAAAAGGUUUCAACCUUGAAUCUUAAAUUCCUUUUACUUACUUGUAAAUGUUUGAUUUUCAGGCUAAUCUGUGAAUUUUCUUUGUUUGUUCUCACAUUUAAAAUGGUUGUUUUACAUAUAAAAAACCAGUUUCAUAAGUCUGCAAUAAAUAUGAAGAGGCUUGCAGUAUUUCAUCUGUCUCCUCAAAGCCUCUUUAAAUUAAACUUCAAGAACAACGACGUUAGUUCAUGUAUUUAGCGAAAAUGGACUAAAAAUUCUGAGAAAUACCGAGUCACAUUUUGUAAAUAUUAAUUGCAGGGGGGUUAUUGCAAUUCAUUGAAGAGAUUCUUUUUGCUUUUUCUGGACUGAAUACAAAAGUUCCACAUUUGAUACCUGCUCUUUUUCUUGUAACUAUUCUGCAUUCAACUUUUGGCUACAGAUUAUUUGCAUCAAAGUAAACAUCAUUAAGACUUAAUUCACUGCAACACUGCUAAUAAACACUUGUUUUUAUUACUGAAACAAAUGUAAAUGUAUAGACGCUACACAGUCAGUUCACACUCCAUGGUUUAAGAUGCUUUGAAACUCUUUGUGAUGUAUUUUACCUCCAUGCUGGGCAUGCCUUUUAAUAAAAUCAUACUUCUAAAGAA
Molecule: RNA transcript, 5272 nt
Organism: Neopsephotus bourkii (Bourke's parrot)
Lineage: Eukaryota; Metazoa; Chordata; Aves; Psittaciformes; Psittacidae
Gene: SOCS2
Gene name: suppressor of cytokine signaling 2
Exons: 4
Source: RefSeq, a predicted model, not a curated record